AGUGAUGUUUCGAUGCUUUUCCACCCCAAUAACUUUUCAGCUCCUGCAUCAACUGCAUUUACCCCAGAAGCAUCUCUCGUUCCUUCCCUCACCACAGGUACAAAUGAUCUGCAUCUAUUAUUCAUUCCAGGAAAGUCUAAUUGGGAAUGAAAUUUGAAAAUUGGAGAUGAAGAAAAAGGGGAACUCAGGGCAGGGUGGAAUGGGAGACGUACCCUCAUGGGGACCCUGGUGACACCGGGAUGUUGAGUGUUCCUUCCAGAAAGGGAGAGCUCAACAGCUGGGUGCCUCUGAGUGUGCUGAUGCACCCAAACUUCAGACAUGGAGGAUUCUUUCUGUUCUCCACUGCAGCCACUGGCCACAGCCUGGAAGCUUUCACACUGAACUUCACCACCACCAACCUGCUCUACACAACAGAUGUGGAAAACACUGGUUCCAGUAAAUUCAGCACCACAGAGAAAAUGCUGCAGCACCUGGAAUAGCAGCACUGGCUCCCUCUAGUCUGAAUGCAGAGUGACAUCUUUGAGGUGAGAUCCCAUAAUCUGAGGGUUGUUUUGAUGAGGGC
This 562-nucleotide long non-coding RNA is filed under the name Phascolarctos cinereus (koala). RNAcentral describes it as "lncRNA (ENSPCIG00000037249.1)". The record is from RNAcentral. Lineage: Eukaryota; Metazoa; Chordata; Mammalia; Diprotodontia; Phascolarctidae.